Molecule: ribosomal RNA, 199 nt
Filed under: uncultured bacterium
Lineage: Bacteria
Description: partial 16S ribosomal RNA
Rfam family: Bacterial small subunit ribosomal RNA
Source: RNAcentral
ACGCUCGACACCUACGGGAGGCAGCAGUGGGGAAUAUUGCACAAUGGGGGAAACCCUGAUGCAGCAACGCCGCGUGAAGGAAGACGGUUUUCGGAUUGUAAACUUUCUGUUCUUAGUGAAGAUAGUGACGGUAGCUAAGGAGCAAGCCACGGCUAACUACGUGCCCGCAGCCGCGGUAAUCUGAGCGGGCUGGCAAGGC